CAGAGGUGGCAAGCGUUGUUCGGAAUUACUGGGCGUAAAGGGCGCGUAGGCGGCCUACUAAGUCAGACGUGAAAUCCCCCGGCUUAACCUGGGAACUGCGUCUGAUACUGGAAGGCUUGAGUAUGGGAGAGGGAUGUAGAAUUCCAGGUGUAGCGGUGAAAUGCGUAGAUAUCUGGAGGAAUACCGGUGGCGAAGGCGGCAUCCUGGACCAUUACUGACGCUGAGGCGCGAAAGCUAGGGGAGCAAACGGGAUUAGAUACCCCGGUAGUCCUAGCCCUAAACGAUGAAUACUUGGUGUGGCGGGUAUCGAUCCCUGCCGUGCCGAAGCUAACGCAUUAAGUAUUCCGCCUGGGGAGUACGGUCGCAAGGCUG
RNAcentral lists this ribosomal RNA (372 nucleotides) under uncultured organism. RNAcentral's name for it is "bacterial SSU rRNA". It matches the Rfam family "Bacterial small subunit ribosomal RNA", at positions 526 to 896 of the family's 1533-position model. The record is from RNAcentral.